RNAcentral lists this long non-coding RNA (9325 nucleotides) under Podarcis lilfordi (Lilford's wall lizard). Lineage: Eukaryota; Metazoa; Chordata; Lepidosauria; Squamata; Lacertidae. The record is from RNAcentral.
CUGAAGCGUCUGUAACCCGAGGUACCACCAAGGUACCAGAAGUUAGGCCCAAUGAGUUGAAUGGGGUUUACUCCCGGUAAGUGGCUAGAAGACUGCAAUUCUAAGCUGCUUAAUAUUUUAGUUUCAUUGCAGAUUUACAGGUUGGGCACAGGUGAUGGCAGGCAGUCUAGCGAUUCAACCAACAGCAAAUGCACUGCCCUCUGGGGAAGAGGGAAUCCAGAUGCUUAAAGCUGCCUUAGGUGGCAGAGGAAUGGUUUUGCCGUAUACUCCCUCUUUCCCCCAAGUUCUGAUGGAUUGCAUAUUUCUGGAAAUUGCAUGCUAUUUCUAAGCCAUUGGCUCCCAUGAAGACACAUUUCCCUCACUGCUGAGGCAUUAGCCAACAAUUUCCUUAUCACAGUAGUAGUAGUAGUAGUAAUUAUUUUAUUUCUACCCCAACACAUAUAAAAACAUAAUAAAACAUCAAACAUUAAAAACGUCCAAAUACAGGGCUGCCUUCAGUUGUCUUCUAAAAGGUGUGUAGUUCUUUAUCUCCUUGGCAUCUGAUGGGAAGGUGUUGUACAAGGGGGGUGCCACUACCGAGAAGGCCCUCUGCCUGGUUCCCUGUAAAUUCACUCCUUGUUGUGAGGGAACUGCCAGAAGGCCCUUGGAGCUGGACCUCAGCAUCCAGGCUGAACAAUUGGGGUGGAAAUGCUCCUUCAGGCCAAAGCCAUUUAGGGCUUUAAAGGUCAGCCCCAACACUUUGAAUUGUGCUCGGAAACGUACUGGGAGCUAGUGUAGAUGCUUUAGGAGCAGAGCUAUAUGGUUCCGGCAGCCAGUCCCUAUCACCAGUCUAGCUGCUGCGUUCUGUAUUAGUUGUAUUUUCUGAGUCAUCCGAAGGCAUGGCCAGAGCUGGCUGGUUGCUUCAAAUAAUAACAGUAUUAACUGCCCUGAAAUCCCUGUCUAUAUCUUUAGGUUUAUGUAUGCUUCCAUGUAGACUGGACCAAGUUAAGAGUUCUGUGUGCUGGUGACAAGCUGCAUAAUUGACAGAAGGCGGAAACCAGAAAAAAUGUAUCUUAAAGGUAUGUUAUAGGUACGGAGGGAAGGAGGGUGAGAGAGUAAGAGCAAGGAGAAAAUAGACAUUUGGAGUUCAAAAAAGGAUCUCAACUUUGAUCUAAGAAGAUAAGAUGAGGCUUGUUGGAUCAGACCAAAGGCUUAUCUAGUCAAGGAAGCUGUUUCUCACACAGGUCAACCAGAUGCCAGAUCUAUGAAGCCAUUCAUGCUCCACACUACCAAUGUGUUUGUCUGUUAGCCACAAUGGUGCAACGCCUGUGCUUCCUGCAAUAAACAUGUAAUAGGGGGAGAGCAGGACCGUCUUAAGCAUAUGCGGCGCCAGGGUGCAAAGAUCCGCCCGGCACCCCCCCCAGCUUGCCCAGAGUUGUUGACCUUUUUCCUGGCUGGCCGCCUCAACAGCAACAGAGGAGCCCGAGGCGGCAGUGGCAGCAGAGCAAGACUGGGGCUGGGUGCCUGGGGGUGGGUGGGCAAGCAGAACCCAGCACAACAACAGUCGAGCCUGAGGCUCAUGUGAGCAGUGCGCCAAUCCCAAGUGCGCAGAAGGGCAGAGCUUGCUGGCUGCCUCAGCGCCUCACUCGCCCGCAGCAGAAGAGCUGCGGUGCCCCGAUGGGCUCUGCUCUGCUUGGCAGCAGCUGUUGGCUCUUCCCAAUCCCCGGACUCCAAAUCUUGGCCCCGGACUCUCGGCCUGGCGCCCCUGAGAGCCCGGCACCCCGCACCACUAGCGCCUAUGGGUAAGACAGCCCUGAGGAAGAGUUGAUAUCAUUUCCACUAGGGAAUUAGAGCCAUCCAUGGGCAGGAAGGAUAUGUCUGUACAGUGGUACCUCGGGUUAAGAACUUAAUUCGUUCUGGAGGUCUGUUCUUAACUUGAAACUGUUCUUAACCUGAAGCACCACUUUAGCUAAUGGGGCCUCCCACUGCCACUGCACGAUUUAUGUUCUCACCCUGAAGCAAAGUUCUUAACCUGAGGUACUAUUUCUGGGUUAGCGGAGUCUGUAACCUGAAGCGUCUGUAACCCGAGGUACCACUGUAUAUCUGAGACAAGCUGUUCCUUUUCUCUCCUCUCCCUGCCACCCCAUCUUCUCUCUUUUUCUGUCACCCCUUCUCUUUUUUUCUCUUUCUGUGAGUCACACAGGAUGAGUCCGGGAGCUGCAGAUUUCCAUCCACUAUCCUACACAGCAACAAAUACACUUCUUCUUCUUUGGCGAUCACUCAUAGCCAAGUAAGAUUGUCUUCCAUGAACACGGUCUUAACAGUGAGUCCGUAAGUAACUGCGGAGGCCAGUUCUGGAUCCACACAUCCUUCCACAUUGGGGACAUAGGUUUCUGGGCAGGAGGGUUUGCCAAAUGUGCCUUCCUCUUAGCAUGUUUCUCCCUUUCGUCCUGAGUUCCAGCAUCUUCAAAGGCUGUUCUCCAAUUGGAACGCUUGCAGGCCAGUGUUUCCCAGUUGUCUGUGCUUAUGCUACAUUUUUUAAGAUUUGUCUUCAAAUCUCUUUCAUUGACCACCAGCAUUAUGCUUUCCACUUUUAAGUUCGGAAUAGAGUAGUUGCUUUGGAAGAUGAUAAUCAGGCAUGUUGAAGAAUCAUUGCUUUGACACUGGUGAUCUUUGCUUCUUCCGGUGCACUGGCAUUAGUUCGCCUGUCUUCCCAAGUGAAGUGUAAAUUUUUUAGGAGACACCAUUGAUGGAAUCUUUUGAGAAAUUGAAGACGGCGUUCGUAAGUGGUCUGUGUUUCAGAAGCAUACAGUAAGGUUGGUAGUACAAUAGCUUUGUAAACAAGCAUUUUGAUUUUCUUGUGAAUGUCCUGGUCCUCAAACACUCUGCACUUCAAUCGGGAGAAAGCUGCACCUGCAGAGCUCAGGUGAUGCUGCAUUUCAGCAUCAAUGUCAGCCCUUCUGGAAAGAUAACUGCCCAGGUAGGAGAAGUGAUUGGCACUUUCCAACAUCACACCAUUGAGUUGGAUUUGUGGCGCUGCAGAGUGGUUUUUUGUGCUUGUUGGUGCAACACUUUGGUUUGAUUUCCAACCAGCAACCAGCAACACACACAAUGGAGACCCUAACAACAACCUGUUUAUAUCUGUCCAUUGUGCAUUUCCGCUUGUGUGUGUUUCCUGUUGGAAACAGGGGCGCAGUUGCAGAAAACACAUAAUUGCUGCGUGCAAUUUGAAGUGGGUUUCAGAAGACAGAAAAUCCAGCUUGGUUGCUAAUGUAGAGAGACAGUUGGCUAUAUACCUAGGAGUUAAAUAAGCCAUUGGUAUUUGAAAAGCCUUGAGUGUAUAAACUGGAUCCUUUAGAUGGAGAAUGAAUGACACCCUAUUUAGAGAUGAAGAGAUUUAUAAGAAGGCCCAAAAAACACUGAAAGAUUACUUUGAGAUAAAUUUGAGAACAGAAGUGGAAAAAAGAAUAAUCUGGGACGCAAGUAAGGCCGUGAUGCGAGGUUUCCUAAUACAACAGAACUCCAUAAAAAAAGGAAAAAUCAAAAUGAAAGGAAAGAAAAAAUUCUGGAAAAAAUAAAAGAAGGUGAAAAGAAAUUGAGGUCUAAACCAAAGUCCCAUGAGAUUCUGAGAGAAAUAAAGCACUAUCAGGUGCAAUAUAUGGAAUUGAUGAAUCAAGAGAUAGAAUGGAAAAUAAAGCAAAUGAGACAAAAGACAUUUGAAUCAGCAGAUAAAUGUGGGAAAUUUCUGUCAUGGCAAUUGAAAAAGAGGCAAAAACUGAACACUGUGACAAGUUUAGAAGUGGAUGGAAAGAUUAUCCACAAACCAAACGAGAUAAGUAAUUGUUUUCAAAGUUACUUCAGGAAAUUAUAUGCACAAGGGCCAGUCAACGAACAGGAAAUAGAAGAAUUUGUUAAGAAACAUGGAUUACCAAAAAUUUCAGAGCAAAGCAGAAGGAUUUUGAAUGAGAAAAUAACAGGACAAGAAAUAGAGGGUGCCAUUCAGAAGAUGCAAUUGGGAAAAUCUCCAGGACCAGAUGGUUUGACCGCCAGAUAUUAUAAAGCGUUGAAGGAAUGGUUAGUACAACCACUGAAGGAAGUAUGUAAUGAAAUUUUGGAGGGGAAAAAGGCACCAGAGUCGUGGAAAGAAGCCUUUAUUUCACUUAUACCGAAAACUGAGACUGAAAAGAACCAGGUUAAAAACUACCGCCCUAUAUCAUUACUCAAUGUGGAUUACAAAAUUUUUGCAGACAUUAUGGCAAAAAGACUGAAGAGAGUGUUGGUAGGGAGAUUCAUAAGGACCAAACUGGCUUUCUUCCAGGGAGACAUAUGUCGGACAAUGUGAGGAACAUUAUAGACAUUUUGGAACUGUUAGAAGUGGACAUCAAUAGGAAGGCUGUUUUAAUUUUUGUGGACGCGGAGAAAGCCUUUGAUAAUAUUGGUUGGAGCUUUAUGAAGAAGAAUCUCCAAGGGAUGGGGGUAGGUCAAGGGUUUGAAAACGGUAUAGGUGCAAUAUAUUCUAAACAAAAGCAAAGUUAAUUGUAAACAAUGUGGUUACGGAAGAAAUAUCUAUAGAAAAAGGUACACGACAGGGGUGCCCAAUAUCCCCUUUACUUUUUAUAUUAGUCCUGGAGGUUUUGUUAAACAUGAUUAGAGGAGACCAGUUGGUUAAAGGAGUACAAGUCGGAGCUAGACAUUACAAGCUAAGGGCAUUUGCAGAUGACCUAGUACUGACCUUGCAACAGCCAGAUACUAGUACUAAAAGAGUAUUAGAACUAAUUGAGAUAUUUGGUCAAGUAGCAGGAUUUAAACUGAACAAACAGAAAACGAAAGUGUUGGACAAAAAUUUAACAUUGGCUGAAAAAGAGAAGUUUCAGAAUGAAACAGGUUUAGUGAUAACGAAAAAGUAAAGUAUCUGGGGGUAAACUUAACAUCUAAGAAUGUGAAUUUAUUUAAGGACAAUUAUGACAAAUGUUGGACAGAGGUAAAGAAAGAUCUAGAAAUAUGGUCAAGGUUGAAACUCUCUUUGUUAGGUCGAAUUGCUGUUAUCAAGAUGAAUGUAUUGCCUAGAAUGUUGUUUUUAUUCCAGACAUUGCAGAUUUUGGACAAGAUGGACUGUUUCAAGAAGUGGCAGAAAGAUAUAUCUAAAUUUGUCUGGCAGGGCAAAAAGCCCAGAAUAAAAUUUAAGAUUCUAACUGAUGCAAAAGAUAGAGGGGGUUUGCCCUGCCGGACUUAAGACUCUACUAUGAAUCGGCGGCUUUCUGCUGGUUGAAACAUUGGCUACUUCUUGAGAAUACAGACAUUUUGGAUCUAGAAGGGUUUGACAAUAGAUUUGGCUGGCAUGCAUAUAUAUGGUAUGAUAAGGUAAAACUGCAUAAAGGUUUCAAAAACCAUAUUGUUAGGAAAGCAUUAUAUAAUGUUUGGAUGCGGUAUAAAGAUUUAUUGGAAAGUAAAACUCCCAGGUGGUUGUCACCAAUGGAAGCUAAAGAGGUGAAAAAACUUAAUAUGGAGUCUAAAUGGCCAAAAUAUUGUGAAAUUUUAGAACAAGAUGGGGAAAAAGUUAAAUUACAGAGUUAUGAGAAAUUAAAGUCCAAAGUGCGAGAUUGGUUGCACUACCUUCAGAUAAACGAGACAUUUAAACAGGACAGGAAAAUAGGUUUCCAGAUGGAGAGGUCAAAAUUAGAAACAGAACUGUUAGAACCCAAUACUAAGAAUCUGUCGAGAAUGUAUAAUCUGCUGUUGAAAUGGAACACACAGGAUGAAACGGUGAAAUCAGCUAUGAUAAAAUGGGCACAAGAUAUUGGUCAUAACAUUAUGUUUGCUGACUGGGAACAGCUGUGGACCACCGGUACUAAAUUUACGGCAUGUAAUGCCUUAAGAGAAAACAUUAUGAAAAUGAUGUAUAGGUGGUACAUGACCCCAGUCAAGCUUGCAAAAAUUUAUCAUCUGCCCAAUAACAAAUGUUGGAAAUGUAAUGAGACUGAAGGUACUUUUAUCACCUUUGGUGGACCUGCCCGAGGAUAAAAGCUUUUUGGGAAAUGAUCUAUAAUGAAAUUAAGAAGGUUCUUAAAUGGACCUUCCCUAAAAAACCUGAGGCUUUUCUCCUGGGCAUUGUCGGCCAAUUGGUGAGAAGGAAGGACAGGACGUUUUUUAUGUAUGCGACCACAGCAGCAAGGAUUCUUCUAGCAAAGUAUUGGAAGACACAACAACUACCCACACUGGAAGAAUGGCAGACGAAGGUGAUCGACUACAUGGGACUGGCGGAGUUGACUGGCAGAAUCCGUGACCAGGGGAAAGAGACAGUGGAAGAAGAUUGGAAGAAAUUCAAAGUUUAUCUUAGAACUUGUUGUAAAAUUCAGGAAUGUUAAAAUGUCAAGGGGUUGGGAAACAGAGAAUUGCAGCUGUAAUUAACAAUAUUAGAAGAACUUAAAAGAAAUUGAAUUGAAUAAUUAGUCGACUGAGGAGUUGCUGAAGAAAUAUAAAACAAGGAUGCAGAAAAGGGGAGGUAUGGGGAAGUCCGGAAAGUAAGGUUUAUGAAAAAAUGGUUAUGAAAUUAUACAUGUUUAUAUGUUUGUAUGUCGGUGUAUUGUGUAUUGUUUGUUUUUUUUUUAUUUUGUGUUUGGAAAAUUAAUAAAAAUUUAUUCAAAAAAAAAAAAAAUGAAAAGCCUUGAGUGUAUAAUUCAUUUCAGAAUGAAUUCCAGCAUAUAUGGCAGGAAGCCUGUUCGGAGACUGUUCACAGUAUGUCUGUCCUUAAGCAGCAUUAUCAGUCUUUCAUUUUUAUGAGCUAUACAAAUUUACAGAGUUCAAACUUCUAUCUUUUACGAGCGGAAUAGAGUAGGAGAUGAGCCAUGCUGCACGACACCUUCCUAAGCAGGAAGAUUAUGAUGGAUGAGCAGAACACAAUACCUCCUAGUAAAACAGUGAAAUGGCAAAAUGGCUCUCAAGAGUCCUUUUCUAGGAUUCCAAAGAAACUAUUUCAUGAAACCUGGAGGGUGGGGAGGAGGUAGAAAGGAAAGACGAAUGAAAAAUUCAGAUGAUGGGGGCAAAUUCAAACCAGCAGUAGUGUAGUAGAUGAAUUGCCGUGAGGUGACUCUUUCCUUCAAUCCUGAGAUGGAAUAAUGGUCUUGAGGAAGUACUUUGCUGCAGGGAAGCGACUAAUAUCUAUGUUUUUGAUUGCCACAACCCACAUGGCAUGUUUGCAAGACUGGAUAUAUGUCCAGAAUAAAACGCCAAGUUUCCAAGCAGUUAUAAAGGACACGUGUGGACAUUGGUGGGAGUGUACAGGAGAUGGUGCAACUAAAUCGAUGGCACAGAAUUGGGAAGGCUCAACGUUAUGAGCAAUAAAUAGGUGUGUCGGCACUUUGAUGAGGAACAAGGAAAAGCCACAGGGAGGGAGAGCAAUCGUAACAGCCUGGCUCCCAGUGAAAUAGCAAGCCAGCGAAUUAUUUGAAUUGGAAACAACGUACACAUGUGCUGCAUUGUCAGCUGAUGUGAAAAAUUAGCCACAGUUUUGGAACCAGUGUGGUAUAGUGGUUAGACUGUCAGGCUAAGAUAUGGGAGACCAGGGUUCAAAUCCCUACUUGGGCACAAAGCUCACUUUGGGCCAGUCGUUGCCUCUGUCAGAAAUCCUUGUCUGAAACCCUGAAAAAACAAGGUUGGCUACUGCAGACAAUACUGAGAAAGGAUGGGCCAGUGGUCUGACUGGAUAAGGCAGCUUCCUAUGUUCCUAUUAGAUUAGCCUUGAAGACUAUUUUUAAAUAGUUUUAAAAAGCAGAAAAGAUUAAGACCUCUAGCCUCAUCCAGUUUGGGAGUAAUUUACAAUCUUUCAAAAGGCAGAACAUGGUGAAAUAUGAAAAGCACGCAAUUAAAGCUUACAUAAAACAUUUAUAUUUUACAGUGACACACCAUCAAAUCAGAAAACCCAUGUGCCAGGAGGGGGAAGGGAAAUGUAAAGGAUUAAGAUGAAAACUGCACAAGAGGGUUCAUACAGAAGAUCACAGAAAAUGGUUGCACUGUAGAUGUGAGCAAAAAGAUGAAAUGUUACCUUCAUUGCAGGGGGUUGGACUAGAUGGCCCCGGGGAGCUUUUCCGACUCUAAAAUUCUAUGAUUCUAUGAAUUACUUUAGAAUUAUAUUUUGUCUUAACUUUUUUUGCUAUGAUUAGGUAAUGGAAAAGAUUUGCAUUGCUAUGUCUUGGGAUUGCAGCUAUAAUAGAUCCAUCAGAAAUGAUGAAGUGCCUGGAGUCACAGUGGAUGAUUUGAAUGGGAAAGCUGGUCUGAUUCCAUCGUUCUUUGUCCAAAAGAUACUAAGGGGCUAUAAAGGGAAGAUUAGACAAAUUCAAGGAUGACGAGUCUCUCAGUGGCUAUGCAGAGCAUCUGUGUUCAAAGACAGUUCACCAGAGCUGGGGGAAACAAUCGGGGAGGGCUGCUUCUUUCAUGUCCUGCUCAUCAGCUUCUCUGGGGCAUCAGGCUAUACAUACAGUGUUAGGAACAAAGUUCAGGACCACAGAAGACUCGGUGAAGCAGAGCAGGUCUGACAUUAUAGUGUACAUUUCUUCAAAACAUUUAACACGACACAUUGUAAUUGGCGGAACAUCACAACCGGGAUUGUGGGGGAUCUGCCACCCCAUAAUGUGGUUGUACCCCAACCCCCAUUAACCCUAGCCAGCAUGGCCAAUGGUCAAGUAUAAUGAGAGAUACAGUCCAAUAACACCAGAUGGCAUGCAAAUUCCCCAUCUCUGUCUUACAGCAUUCUCCAAAUUCUGUAAGCAGCCAUUCCACCUGCUGAGAUGGUAUGGUCCACCCAAUCAGCUUGACUGGGAUCACUGCCAUUUGGCGCCUCCUCUCCUCAAACUGUCUUCCCCAAUGGUCAUUCCACUUGGUCAUUCCACUUCUGAAUAAUUAGUGCCUGAAUAUUAAUAGUUCCCUCCUUCCUGAUCCCCUUUCCCCCUUUUGUAUUGUGCAAAUUGUGUUGUGACUGUGCAGGCAGGGGCUGUUUUCUUUGUAAAUCUUUGUACAGUGCCUAGAAAACUUUAGGUGCUUUCUAACCAAUGACAAUAAUUUGCAGACGAAGAUCACUAGAAUGUCUGUAUUGUGCGCUUCAAUUACCCAGCUUGCAAGUUAUAUGCUGAUGUAAUACUCUUGAUUAUUGUCUUUUCCUCCAGUCUCUUUCUGCCUGUAUCGUGGCUCCAGUCACAUUAGUCAUUCGCAUACUGCACGGAACUGACACUUGCUUUCUGUCUUAUGUGCAUUUUUGUGAAAAUAACCAGGCGGUUUCCUGUGUGUUCAGUAAGUGCUCUAAGUUCCUUUAAGGGAAGAACAAGGUAUUUGUGUAAACAAAACUGCAGCUGGC